UACGAAGGGUGCAAACGUUGCUCGGAAUUAUUGGGCGUAAAGCGCACGUAGGCGGCUUAGCAAGUCGGAUGUGAAAUCCCUCGGCUCAACCAAGGAAGUGCAUCCGAAACUGCUGAGCUUGAGUACGAAAGAGGAUCGCGGAAUUCCCGGUGUAGAGGUGAAAUUCGUAGAUAUCAGGAGGAACACCGGUGGCGAAGGCGGGUCUCUGGGCCGUAACUGACGCUGAGGAGCGAAAGCAUGGGGAGCGAACAGG
RNAcentral lists this ribosomal RNA (253 nucleotides) under uncultured bacterium. RNAcentral describes it as "partial 16S ribosomal RNA". It matches the Rfam family "Bacterial small subunit ribosomal RNA", at positions 524 to 776 of the family's 1533-position model. The record is from RNAcentral.